Orcinus orca (killer whale) is the source of this 352-nucleotide long non-coding RNA. RefSeq lists it as uncharacterized. NCBI's taxonomy places the organism in Eukaryota, Metazoa, Chordata, Mammalia, Artiodactyla, Delphinidae. The record is from RefSeq and is a predicted model, not a curated record. The transcript has 3 exons.
ACAGGAGGCUGGCAACGAGUACUUUGAAAAGCACAGUAGUGCAGUACAACAGCUGGCAUCCAGGGACUGGCACCGAGUGAACAGGCAGGAAGAGCUACUGACUGGAAGAGAGGAGGUGGGAGAUGGUAGAAAUGAAGGACCCUCAGCAACAGGAGACGGAGGGCGAGCUGAAGUUUCACUCACGCCUGACGCUGACGGCACAGGUGUGGUAACCGUGCACAGAGAGGCUAGUAAGUCACCCAGCGUUACACAGUGAGAAGUGGUGAAGCAGUGCUUGAAUCCAGGAGUCUGGUCCCAAAGUCCAUGCUCUUCCACUGCUCUGUUGCCUCACCAGGGCGGCCUUUGGCCCAGC